Camelina sativa (false flax) is the source of this 470-nucleotide non-coding RNA. The record is from RefSeq and is a predicted model, not a curated record. Lineage: Eukaryota; Viridiplantae; Streptophyta; Magnoliopsida; Brassicales; Brassicaceae.
ACAUCAACUACAACUAACAAUAGAAUAGGAUGUAGCAUUAGCAAGGAAGAUCCUGCUGAGGAUACAUAUUCAGUCAUCGAUUGGGAUGCAGCAUCUUCCUUUCAAGUCCAUCUGGAUGGACUGAACAAGAUUUUGGAGGACCCUAAGGAUAAGGAUGGUCUCCAGAGCUUUGUGGGUAACAUGGGAGCAACUUCUUCAUCGAUGGUGCCUAAUUCUUGGGAAGAUGAGAAGAUUUCCUAGGACUUUGAGGAAAGAAGUAUAGCUAAAUCUCCUUGUGGAUCCUCCUAUGUUUCCGCCACUACAGGAGAUGUGGUUGACUGAGAUAUUGUCGGAAGUCAAGGAGUUGAAGCAUACUCAGAUGAAACAAGCUGGGAGGAUGAUUACUUUGGAGAUGGAGCUGCUUGAAUCAAGAAGGGAGAUACUUCGGCUAAAAGGGAGCAAUGGAAGUUUUUAAGGACAUGCAUGGUAAG